This 221-nucleotide long non-coding RNA is filed under the name Gallus gallus (chicken). The record is from RNAcentral. Lineage: Eukaryota; Metazoa; Chordata; Aves; Galliformes; Phasianidae.
UGCAAUUCAGAAAAUCAACUGGAAUGAGCAGUCUUUGUUGCAGAGUGAUCUGGGGAAGAUGUCCAGACUCCACCUCCACCAGAGACCCUUGGGCUGCUUGGGAGUUGGAGCAUGAUUGGAACAAUGUUCCAACUCCAGGGUGUAGGACCUGGGGCAUAUGCUGAGUCUUCGUACACACCCAGAACACCUAGUCUACACCUUUAAUGAAAAGUAAACUAUCU